Molecule: non-coding RNA, 142 nt
Filed under: Umezakia ovalisporum
Lineage: Bacteria; Bacillati; Cyanobacteriota; Cyanophyceae; Nostocales; Nodulariaceae
Source: RNAcentral
UCUCUUGCGCACCCGGACCGUCGCUGCGACAAGCGGGACAGGCGGUUAAGGGAACGCGGUCCAAAACCGCGGCUGUGCCCGCAACUGUAGGCGGCCAGGCCGUCGUCCGGUCCGGGAGCAAUCCCGGCGUCACUGAGCGGUU